AUCUUCGUGACGAUGACAUUCCUU
This 24-nucleotide non-coding RNA is filed under the name Drosophila melanogaster (fruit fly). The record is from RNAcentral. Lineage: Eukaryota; Metazoa; Arthropoda; Insecta; Diptera; Drosophilidae.